Acanthosepion pharaonis is the source of this 114-nucleotide non-coding RNA. Lineage: Eukaryota; Metazoa; Mollusca; Cephalopoda; Sepiida; Sepiidae. The record is from the annotation of a GenBank genome assembly.
UUGCGACUAUAUCGCGUUGAAAAACCGGUUCACGUACGAUCACCGAAGUAAAGCAACCUCGAGCCUGGUCACUAACUAGAUGGGUGACCACUUGGGAAUACCAGGUGCUGUAAG